Molecule: transfer RNA, 71 nt
Filed under: Oceanospirillaceae bacterium
Lineage: Bacteria; Pseudomonadati; Pseudomonadota; Gammaproteobacteria; Oceanospirillales; Oceanospirillaceae
Description: tRNA-Met
Rfam family: tRNA
About the family: Transfer RNA (tRNA) molecules are approximately 80 nucleotides in length. Their secondary structure includes four short double-helical elements and three loops (D, anti-codon, and T loops).
Source: RNAcentral
GUGCUUGUUCAGCUAACUGCAGCGGACUCAUAAUCCGUUGGUCCUCAGUUCAAAUCUGAGCAGGCCCACCA